RNAcentral lists this small RNA (28 nucleotides) under Bombyx mori (domestic silkworm). RNAcentral describes it as "ovarian small RNA-1505". The record is from RNAcentral. Lineage: Eukaryota; Metazoa; Arthropoda; Insecta; Lepidoptera; Bombycidae.
UGACAAAGGGGUCCUUCUUCGCAGUGAA